CGUCUAACUCGAUUUGUUCCUUCGUAUUGUGAUGAGAGAAAACAGAGAAUAUGGUUCUCAAGUCAUCGUUAUUCUGAAGUUUCAUGUUGGUGUUUGUAACACGUCCAUCUGAGCCGACCUACAUACGACGAUACUCAAUACUGGACACCCUUCUUGCCUCACGACAAUUGAGACGGUCGUUGAGUUGGUUCGGUUGGUGCUUCAGAUCAGCCAACUUAACAUUGACGUGGAUCCUAAAAAGAUUCGACUUUCCGUUGUUGUAGUUUAUUGCAGCUAGGUGAGUGCUAUUUUGGAAUGAAAAAU
RNAcentral lists this long non-coding RNA (303 nucleotides) under Trifolium pratense (red clover). RNAcentral's name for it is "long non-coding RNA (TPRA_LNC012420)". Lineage: Eukaryota; Viridiplantae; Streptophyta; Magnoliopsida; Fabales; Fabaceae. The record is from RNAcentral.